CCUACGGGAGGCAGCAGUGGGGAAUAUUGCACAAUGGGGGAAACCCUGAUGCAGCGACGCCGCGUGAGCGAUGAAGUAUUUCGGUAUGUAAAGCUCUAUCAGCAGGGAAGAAAAUGACGGUACCUGACUAAGAAGCCCCGGCUAACUACGUGCCAGCAGCCGCGGUAAUACGUAGGGGGCAAGCGUUAUCCGGAUUUACUGGGGGUAAAGGGAGCGUAGACGGCUUGGCAAGCCAGAGGUGAAAUGCUGGGGCUCAACCCGAGGACUGCAUUUGGAACUGUCAGGCUAGAGUGUCGGAGAGGGAGGCGGAAUUCCUAGGGUAGCGGUGAAAUGCGUAGAUAGUAGGAGGAACACCAGUGGCGAAGGCGGCCUGCUGGACGAUGACUGACGUUGAGGCUCGAAAGCGUGGGGAGCAAACAGGAGUAGAUACCCUUGUAGUC
RNAcentral lists this ribosomal RNA (440 nucleotides) under uncultured bacterium. Its description in RNAcentral is "partial 16S ribosomal RNA". It matches the Rfam family "Bacterial small subunit ribosomal RNA", at positions 338 to 795 of the family's 1533-position model. The record is from RNAcentral.